UACAGAGGGGGCAAGCGUUGUUCGGAAUUACUGGGCGUAAAGGGCGCGUAGGCGGCCUGUUAAGUCGAACGUGAAAUCCCCGGGCUCAACCCGGGAACUGCGUCCGAUACUGGCAGGCUUGAAUCCGGGAGAGGGAUGUGGAAUUCCAGGUGUAGCGGUGAAAUGCGUAGAUAUCAGGAGGAACACCGGUGGCGAAGGCGGCUCUCUGGACCACAACUGACGCUGAGGCGCGAAAGCUAGGGGAGCAAACAGG
RNAcentral lists this ribosomal RNA (253 nucleotides) under uncultured bacterium. RNAcentral describes it as "partial 16S ribosomal RNA". It matches the Rfam family "Bacterial small subunit ribosomal RNA", at positions 524 to 776 of the family's 1533-position model. The record is from RNAcentral.